Callithrix jacchus (white-tufted-ear marmoset) is the source of this 62-nucleotide small nuclear RNA. Its record names the gene U7. It matches the Rfam family "U7 small nuclear RNA". From Rfam's summary of the family: Animal histone pre-mRNAs are spliced by a different mechanism than nuclear pre-mRNAs and self-splicing introns. This processing involves the U7 snRNP, which contains only one RNA species: U7. The record is from Ensembl. NCBI's taxonomy places the organism in Eukaryota, Metazoa, Chordata, Mammalia, Primates, Cebidae.
UAGCGUUAUAGCUCCUUUAGAAUUUGUCUAGCAGGGUUUCUGGUUUUUGCUGGAAAGCCCCC